UUUUUUUUCCUUUUCUGAAGAAGCAUGGUCCAUGGAUGAUGGUCCAGGAAUCCAUCUUUCGAGGAUGGAGAAAAAUAGUACCUUUUAAAUUCACCGACCAGGCCGUAGAGAUUUGAUACUAAUGAGACAUUUUUGUUUAAAGACAGUGCAUAAAUAGGUACUAUAGUACUUUUGGUUCCUGAUUUUUUACAGGAAAUCAUAUUUGAAAGUUUCAAAAAAAUCUGAAUCCUUUUUGUGUAUGUAUACACAAACCUACAUAUUUUCAUCAAGAAAUAUGUUGAUUUGUGAUCUGUGAAAAAAAAAACACAAAUCUGUGGAUCUAGAUGGUAAACGGGUUCACGAGGCUCUGCCUGCCGCCGUCACCGUGUUCAACAAAAGUAGAGGUAAGCAAUGUGGUGCUGGGCCAGAUUUGCAUGUUGUUACUUGUUACUGCCGUUCGAUUUUAGGUCCCUUUACUGUGUCCAGCAACAGUAGGAGAGCAUAGAGGAUAGGAAUAAUGAGUUCAGAGCUUAUUUGGUCCCAAGUAAUUUGUAUGGCUAUUUCUUUGAUGCCAACCAAUUCUGAAGUUUUACAAGCAUGUCUCUGGACCAGUAUGCACUCAUCUCAUUGUGUUUUUGUAAAAAAAAAAACACGCAACUAUGGACUCUUUUGCAUGAUCAAAUUAUGUCCAAUAUCUCAGGUAAAGCUUUGCUAGAGCUGAAAUAUUUGUGGUUCUUUCAUAGUUGCAGUACUGAAUAUAUGUCAUGUGAAAUAUUUUUCAUGCUUCAAUUCUAAGGCAAGAUGUCUGUCCAUUUGAAGUUAUUGUCCACCAGUGACGAUGUUGAGUGUAAGCUUCUAUCCCGUGAUCUUAGUGUGCAUCAAAUCUAUAUUAUGCAAAGUCUAUGUUCACAAUUUCAGCAGGUACUAUCUCGUCUUCUCCGAGAGUAGAGCACAGAAACAAAGGGUGUCUGGUGGCCGUCAGAUGGGAGCAUGAAGAGAGAAGCAUGUUAGUAGGUUUUGUUGUCUUAUGAUAGAGUAGAGUAUGGAGACAAAAUCUACCGAAGAUUUUCUUUUUAAAAGAGAUGUUUGGUGGUCGGUGGUUGUCAAAGAAGAUCAAAGAGAAGUUUGACGCAUGUCUUCGAAUGUGCGGAGUAUCUUUUAUUUUGUUGUACCGUUGCAACGCACGGACAUUUCUGCUAGUACAUAUGUUAAUUACGAGGAACCCGGAUGGUACCGUAGUAUGCAAUGUUGUAGGAUACGUAAAUAAGUAAAAUAGAGAUAAGCAAUCAAUCGAUACAACAUACAACUAAGGAGAUCGUGACCCUCUAACUAAGUCACUGGAUAUGUAGCAAGCACCAAGAGUCGAAACUCGAAAGCAAUUUCCUCACACCAUAACUGCAGAUGCCCUACAUGAAAUGGUCACCAUCGCACGUGAACAUAUGUGAAAUCAUCUUCCGAGCGUAAAGCGUGGCAAGUAUCACAAACCGGAGCAGAAUCUUCUUAGCAUAUAUACAUUUCACCGACAAAGUAUAAACACAGGCGUCAUAUCUCUUCCAUGGCAAAAUAACCGAGAGAUGAGAUUCUACGUUACAGACAAAUGAAAUCUGUUGAGACGGUCCACGUCUUUCCUGCGUGUUCUCGCAUCACUGAUGUCUGUUUCUAAGCAUAUAUCGGUUGCUACAACGUUUUUCUAGAUUCUCUAUGGCUUUUUUUAGAGACAGAGAGAGGGAGAUAUCAGUUUCUCUAUGGCCUGAUUUCCACUCACCAAAGUAGGAAAAAACCCAAACUACCAAACAGAUUUUUUGUGUCCUCAACUUAAUUAUUUAUUGAUGGCUAAUACUCAGCUACCUCAUAUAUGAAAUCACAUGCUCAUGGUUAUAUGAUGCAUAGAAUACAUUUAUGUGUUUUAAGAAAACUGGCGAUUAUCAAUGGAAUACAAUAUAUCUUGUAUGAAUAUUGGAAAGACUGCCCGGGCACAUUGAUAAUCGGAAGGAGUUAGGUCAUUGAUUAUAUUAUAGCCCUAAUGUCGACCUACAUGAUUAGUGGAAUUUAAACAUGAUCAUGGCGCAUUGCUCACAAAUGCUUGUUCUAGGGACCGACAGUUAGAGUCCCUAACGGAUGAAUUAUACCGUGGUUGGUAGUUUAAUCUGGACUCUAUCUGAAAACUAGUUUAAAUUUCAUGAUUUAAAACUAAGACUCUUAUCUGUAUAUGCAGUAUAAGAAGGUCCUUACCCCCUAACCUCAGAUUGCGGAAUUGUGAGCGGCACAAUGAAAAAACGCAGAGGAAUAAUAUGGGGUAGACCACCCAAAAUUUCCAACAGGCCCCACGUGUCAGCCACAACACCGUACGUCAGGGGAUCCUCCUCCAUUUUCUUCGACGGACACAGCAAUCUCCGUCUUUUUAGCAAGUGUAUCGUCUGAUGCCACAAUACAUGUACAUCAGACCAGACACCACGGGCAAACAACAAAAAUCAUUAGAAACCUGAGCAAUUUCCACAAAAUAAUAGACGACAUUAUAUUAGGGGCUACAUUCUUUUGUAAUCCAAAGUCGACCAAUACUCUCAUAACCACACCAAUGUUCUAAUGUCUGUCCAAAGCACUUUUGCAACACAACAAUGAAACAACAAAUGAACGGCUGAUCCAGGUUCAGCACAAAGAAGGCAGCUAGUAUCUGGAGCAUUUUGUCGUUUAACAUGAACCCGAAGUAAGUAAAAUGAACAACAAAUUAUCUCUAGUAAAGCAACUUGUUAUGAGUUACCAGCCAAAGUAACACAUGAACCCCUUCUCGUCAAACAACAUGUACAUGAACCCUAAUAUGGAGAGCAAUGUAAACAGGGGUAACUCCCUUGAAAAUUUAUUAUAGCAUACAGAGGAGCAGUGUAUAAACUAUCCUCUUCCUCCGUUAAAAACAAAGAAGAAACAAUAUGAACUGAUUAGAUAAAUUAAGGUGUGUAUUCAUUGUUUUUUCUCGUCGCGACUCGACAGAGUUAGUAAAGGCUAUGGUGUCAACGCGAUUUACCAAUGCGCAGUGGACAUACCCCCUUCCAAAAAUAUAAGGAUGAACUUGAUGAUUGAGGAACCAAGGAAAAUUUAUCCCCACAAUGGCGCCGAAGUCUUGCAUAAAUUUUACUCCCGAGUACAUUUUUCACUUGUAAUGUAGCAUUGAGUAGAGGUCAAUUAAAAAGCAAUUUGGCAACGACCAACGAGGACAUAAGGAUGUAUGAUCAGGGCUCAAGGAUCAACUUGUCCUUAUUUUUUUUGGAUUUCUCAUAUUAGGAUUUAUCCUUAUAUAUUUUAAGGUAGGAGUAUGUACUCGUUGAGAAACUAAUAUAUACAAUGCCUAAACUAAGACAAAGUUCACCCACCAACAUCUACAACAAACACUCUAGUAGUUAGAUCUUGAAAAACAAAACACAUGCAAGAACAAAAAAAACUACCAAACUGGAUAUUACUCGCUGUAGUUAACAAAGGUACAAACGCAUUAGCAACCUUGAGCAAUUGACCUCGACUCACAUCACGGAGAUCACAACGGCAGAGCUGGAUCAACUUUCCAGAUAGCUGCCACAAGUGCAAUGCUCUGUAAAAUAUGUCAAAACUCCGUUCCAACUCACAUCACAAGGUCCUUUGUAUAUCAUUCCAACUCCGUUCCCUUGCCUCCCCAAGUUCCCGACACAAAUGCACGAUUUCAAAGCUUCUAGCUGCCAUCCGGGCUUCCAUAACAGUGGCCAUAUGGUCUUACUGGCAAUAAGAGAGAGAGCCAUAAACAUCUGCCUUAUGGUCUUUGUCCUCAAAGGACAUUCAUCUACAAGGGAGAAGAAGUACAUAUUUGCAUGUUGCAGCUAAUAUAUUCCCAGUGCCACCUACUCCUACACUAAUCUAAAGGCAUGAGCUAGUCUCUUUCAAGAGCGGUCGAUGCGUGGAAGACAUAAUUCUAUUUCAUGAUCUCUCACAUAUGAGUGUCCCUGAUAUGUUUUCCUGAAUAUAUAGUGAUGUGCAUGCGUAUGAAUAGUUAGUAAUGUGGAGGACGGCUUGGUGUUGGUCCCAUGGAUCUUAUUGUUUCCGUUCAAUAUAUGGUGGAUGGAAAGUACAAAAAGAGUAAUAAACAUAAAAGGAUAUGGAGUGUACAUGUGGUAAUAUAUGUAGGACUAGAGGCCUGGGAGCUCCUCCCCUUUUCGGAAAAAAAUAUAACCACUGGAGCUCUCAUUUUUUUUUCCUUACAUGUACUUUCUCUGUUUCAUAAAAAAUGUCGCCCACUUAGUACAAAAUUUGUACUAAUUUAGUGCAAAAUGGACGACAUUUUUUAUGAAUAGGAGGGAGUAGUAUGAAAUCAGUAAAAUGAACUGUUCCGUCCUAGUGAGUAUUACAGUUCUUAUACUUUAAUGUAUACCAAUCACUAGUCAAAAGCUCGUGCGUUGCUACGAAGAAUAAAUAAGAAUACAAAAAAUAAUGUAAACUAUCGCAGCAUCAUGAAAACACGAAGAAUCUUCCUUCUCUUUUUAUACUUCCAUUUCCUCCCUUGGUUUGAAUGUCGCUUUGCUUCACAAGACAUGCUACUCAGUUUUUUUUAUAUGGUUCCUUCGGUAAGCUGAGGAUUUUCUCUAUCCCACUCGAUUGUAGGCAUGUCCUCACCCUCGUAUUCAUCGGGAACCAACAUGUCAUUGUUCUCCUCUUUGUCUUCAUCGUCAGUGUCAUCAAAUCUAGCAGCAGGGGUGGGUUCCUCCUCGUAUUCAUCUUGCAUCGCUUGUUGGCUGAAUUGUCCACCAAUUCAGGAAACAUCGUCUCAUCCUCAUCAUCUCUUCGAGCGACUGCCACGUCAGGCUGUGCGUCGUCAUCUAUGUCGAUUCCAGUACUGGUUUGGUUUUCGCUACAUGUAGGUUUACAGGGUCUGGACCUAAGAGGAGUUUGUGGGCGUUGAGUAUUAGCAGAGUUAACUGAAUCCCUAACUGUAAUGCUGCCCCCAUCUCCCAAUUGCUUCUACCAUUCUUUGCGGGGCUGUAGCACAUCGAUUUGAAUUUUACCGAAACGGGAGACAGCAUUCAAACCAAAUAGAACUCCGAGAUGUUCAUCGCAAGUUAGAGGCUCAAAUCUUUGCUCGGCAGUGUUGAAAUAUCUGAAGUCAACUGCAUCUUCCUGGCUCUAGGGAUAUGCAGAAUAUAGCGAAUUCCAAAAAUCAUCGAAUGAUGUGAGACUCUCUACCACCUUUGGAUAGCAAAGUUUGGACAGUAGAUGCGCUUUAGUUCCACGCAAAAUUCUAGUUUCCAUAAAAACUGCAACGUCUCCACGCAAAAAUUAUGGAAUGAUGUGCUAGUCUCUACCGGUGCAGAUUCUGGUCACCAUCGUCUCCGGACUCCUCACCACCACCUGCAGCAAGAGGCAUCGGGAUCCUCGGCGACGGCAGCCACAUCCUCAGCUUCCGCGUCAUCGACAGCGAGCAACGUCUCCACAAUUAUAACUCCUCGUCACCUCCGUCGUGACCUACUGGCGGGCUUUUGUAAUUGCUUCAUGAAGACGAUGUUAUGCAACUUAGAAGAACCUGCGCACUUCUACAGGUAUUGUAUUCAGUCAUUCUAAAGGUUUAUCUUCUAGAGCGUUUUGCUCCACUAUUAAUAUACUUCCAUAUGUAUGCUUGGCGCUUUCCGUUAGUGGUUGAUCCCAAAUGGUCCAUCAGCAUUGCGUGGCCUCUCUGAAUCAUCAUAAGCAUUCAGUUAUGUCUAUUAGAGAUGGACUGGAAAUGGAGAGCAUUCUCUGAACAUUUAAUCUCUUAUGUUUAUUUGCUUUUCCAUGGUUGUUUUUGUAGGGGUUGGUGUAUGUAGACUCUUUAGACAAAGAGCAUAUUGAGGCAGCCAUUAAAAAGAACAAGAAGAAGUAAGAAAGUAAGUAUUGAUCACUCAGAUCCAACCAAAUCGGCAUCUAACGAUGAUGGUGUGACAUUGUUCAGAUAUCCAGUUUUGGAAUAAGAACAGGUCCAUGAAAGGUCUAUCGGCAAAAUUCGUGGUUCUGAGAUUCAUAUGUCAGCUGCUUAUUUUUCUUUACCUGCUUGACAAUGAUACUUCAAUGAUGAUCCUUUCUAGCUUAUUUUAUGGAUAUGACUCCUCUUUUAAAUACUCCCUCCGAUUCAAAAUUGUUGUCGAAAUAUUACAUGUAUCUAGACGCUUUUUAAGAAUAGAUACAUCCAUAUUUGGGCAAAUUUGAGUCAAGAAUUUAGGAUUAGAGUGAGUACUAAAUUUACUGUUAUCUUAUUUGUGCCCCAUGUAAUACAGCCAGUGUUAUAUUAGGUAUUAUGUUAUAUCGAAAUAUACAUAAUUCCAGAAAUUUUUAGGUAACCAAAUUUAUAGACAUGGAUGCUUGGUGGAUACGUUAAUUGGAGUCGAGCAAUCGCAACUCACAUAUAUAAUUAACUGGUGGAUUCUGAGAUUCUAUUGUACUAUUUUUCAAUUAGUGUUUACCCUGAAAGAGCGAGCUGCAAAAAUUAUUUUUGUAGUCAUAUCACUUUUUUGUGUUAUGAGACUGUCAAGCAAGAGUUUACUUAUGAUUUCUAGCAUCAUCUAAGUCUGUUAUGAUCUUUUCAGGUUGUAGUGGUAACAAGUGAUUUACCUCUUUGAUAUUAAACUGAAUUGUAAUUCUUUCGAACUGGCAAUGAAACUAAAUUGUAAUUCUUCUGAACUGACACAGUGCCAUGUAAACAAAAUAAAUCAGCAGUUGGAAUUGAAAAUCCUCAGCUUCAGUUACUUCUGGAGUAACAGUGUGCACCUUUUUCUUCUUUCAAUUCUUCUGAGUAGGUUGCAAGAACAUUACAGUUUAGUUUCUAUGUCAUAUCUUCAAUCUAAAAAACUAAGCUUCUUACGGCUCUCUAAAUUACCUCCGCACUAUGAUGCACAUUUUCUUGCAUCAACAGUGCCUCGUGUUCCUGUUUAUGUGAACAACUCGUAAGCAUAACAGUUAAUAUUGUAGGAUACAUCACUGCCAUUCCAUGGUUCUUAAAACUAGGAUUACUCACUCGGUUAUGCGGACCUCUUUUAGGAUUAACACCUAGAACUAGACGUCUUGCAGUUCUCUAGAUGGUUUUAUAGCAUUAAUCUUGUGCUUUCUCUUGUACCAACUGCCGUCAUUACUUUUAUACUUCACAGUUGCUCUGAUUUGAUAUUAGCAUUAAAGAGUUUGGUCAGACAUUACUUGCACACUAUGUCACUUAACUCUCGUCUCUUUUGUUUAUCUUUUGAGAUUUUUUAUGGUAUCCCGGAAUUAAUAUGAGCCAUCCAUUCUCUGCGAUCUAAUGGCUAAUAUCGUGUGGUACUCCGUCACAAGUCUUCAGAGUACCAUCUAAAAAAUAUACGGAGUAUCAUGGAGUGAAGGCCAAAACUGUAAUCGUACAGAUUCUUCUUCUUUCUUAAUGACCUCAUGAUCAGAUUUGGGAAGUCGAUGGCCUCAGGAAAGAUUGCAUUGGAGAUGCCGCCGGGCGCCGGCACACCAAGGUAAUCUCCGAUUGUGAAAUCUGCUACACCGUAUUAGAAAUCCAUAUCUGUAAUCCCCGUCCACGUUCCCGCCGCACCAAGAUUGGGGAGCCGGCUUGCCGUGGAGGCGCUGUAGGACAGAACUCGAUCGAUCUUACCAGAAUCAUGAACGGUGAAAAUAGAACCUAGCACAAUCAACUCGCAUGGUAGCCUUAUGAUUGAUCUUACUAAAAUCGUUAUCAGGAAAAAUUGAACCUACGGCACAAUCAUUGGAUUCGAUUUGCAAUUCACAUCUUAAACUGAACAACGAUUAGAGCAACCAUGAGUAACGCCGCCGGCCGCAGAUCAUUGGAUGAUCUGGUCCGGACUCCGGAGUGAUUUUGCCGGAUGAAGCACGAACGUGAACUCAGAAAACCUACUUGAACACGAAGCACACAAAACAGAAGCAGACGGGUAUAACGGUAGACGGCGGUGCGCGGCCGCGGGGACAAAACGGCAACAGAGUCGCAACAGCCAGAUCGAUUGGGAAGACACUUCAAAAGUCCAAAACACCCCGCUGAUACGGACGGUUGGAUUGUUUGGUACUCCUUUCUGCAUAUUGGAGUACUAGGGUACUAAAAAAAGCCUUUAUCUUUUUCGUCUAUCAAUUAUAUCUAACCUUUUACGCUCAAUGUUUUGUUGUUUUCUUUUUCAUUUUACAUGCAGGUGCCUCCCUGCAUCUGCAUGUCUUACGACUGCAGAUGUUUGGAACAAUUGCAACUGUCGUUCUCUGGUGUUGCGCUACACAGGUGUAAAUGAUGUUGCUUACAUAUAGCACUACUGUAGAACCAAAGACCACGUAAAACCUGUUGUUCACGGUAGCACUACUCAUCCAUGUUUUUUGCUGUCUUAUGUAAUCAAGUGUACCGAGAAAGUAUGUAAACUGUCUUCUGUAAUCAUGUGCACCGAGAAAGUAUGUAAAUUGUUCCGAUUUGUACAAUUUUUUGUUGCCUGUUUUGUAGCGGUAGCAAGUCUCUGCCCUGUCAGUCUUGCUUAUCACUGGAGUUGAGAUCGCCUGUAUGGCUGUAUCAUAUGCAAUGCCUCUUUAGCUGAAGAAGAAUUUUGGUUAAGAUUCCAUGGCCAUAGCUAAACAACAAAAAAAAAACAUGGCAUCUUAGAAAGGAUACACUGCGUAACGCGGAGGUGCUGACUCCGGGGCUAUCUAGCCCCAUAUUUCUAGCCACAUGUUUCAUCUCAGGCCCACCAAAUUAAUUUAUUUUGUCCUAUACUACAGAGAGAUUAGCAGCAAACUAGUACUUGUGGCAGGCACGUGUUUUUUACUGACAACUCUUUAUUUUUGUUUGGUUCUCUCUCGUUCUCUGCAUCUCUGUCCCAUUUUCAAGUACAUUGUGGUACACGUUUUUAAGUACAUAUUUAGUGCAUUAUGGUAAAUAAACGGUACCUUAUCAGUUUUCAAAUAUCUUGUAUACAUGAGCUUACGAGACGAGUACAUUGUAUGGUACAUCACAUGUACAUUAUCACUUUUAAGUACCUCACGUAGAUGGAUUUAUGAGACGACUACAUCGUAUGGUGCAUCACAUUUAUUCAGAAAAAAUCAUAGUACAUGACAGAUACAUGACAAGUACAUCAACACACAUCACAAAUACAUAAGACACAUCAGAGACACAUGAAGGUACAUAACAAGUACAUCAAAACAAAUUCGAGACACAUGAAUGUACAUUACAAGUACAUGAAGACACAUCAGAGACACAUGAAGGUAUAUGACAAGUACAUCGAGGCACAUGAUACUGCUAAAAAAUCACAACACACAUUCAAAAAGAAAUCAUGAGAUCCAAAAGCAAGAUCACAGUACAAGAUUCAAAAAGAUCCAAAAGCACACGCAUCCGGUACAGUCGGCGGCCCGGCACCCGGAUCCAGCAGAUCGCCUCGUCCACGAGCAUGGCCAGCGACGGCUCAGGGCGAAGUGGUGGGGGCGGCGGAGGCGGCGGUGCGGAGAGGUGGGGGCGGCGGCGGAGGCGGCGGCACGAAGAGUUGGGGGCGGCGCGGCGGAGGCUGACCUGUGGCGGAGGCGGCGCGAAGAGAUGAGGGCGAGCUGGGGCUGGGAGAGAGAGAGAGAUGCGCGAGAGAGGGAAGAGGGCGGGGUCGAGGCUGUGGGCUCAGGCGCUGUGCAUCGUGGAGUGCUGGCGCGGGGCGGCUGGUGGGGCGGAUCGAGACGCGGCGGCACGCUGGCGGAGUUGAAGAAGAUAGAAUAGGUCGGGGAGAGAAGGAGAAACAGUGAGGAAGAAAAGAAAGAGGGGCGGCUAGGGAGAAGAUAAAACCGAGGGGGGAGAGGUGGCUUAUUAGCAAAGCAGUGUCAGGAGAUUAAGAAAAGCGGGGACAGAUGUGUGGUGAAGAAGGUGGGGCUAAAUAGAGGGAGUGACCGAGAGGCAUAUCCUGGGUUUGUUUUGACAGUAAAAACAUUUUUACAAAUUAGACAGCACAUCUCGCCCCAGUCAGGCUUCAGGCGGCGCGGCGUUCAAAAGAACUAUAAGCGAUGGAAAAAAAA
This 9975-nucleotide long non-coding RNA is filed under the name Brachypodium distachyon (stiff brome). RNAcentral describes it as "long non-coding RNA (BDIS_LNC005673)". Lineage: Eukaryota; Viridiplantae; Streptophyta; Magnoliopsida; Poales; Poaceae. The record is from RNAcentral.